RNAcentral lists this transfer RNA (72 nucleotides) under candidate division SR1 bacterium CG_4_9_14_3_um_filter_40_9. RNAcentral's name for it is "tRNA-Met". It matches the Rfam family "tRNA". Rfam says of the family: Transfer RNA (tRNA) molecules are approximately 80 nucleotides in length. Their secondary structure includes four short double-helical elements and three loops (D, anti-codon, and T loops). Lineage: Bacteria; Candidatus Absconditibacteriota. The record is from RNAcentral. RNAcentral also lists the same sequence under 3 other names.
UGCGGGGUAGAGAAACGGUAUCUCGUUGGGCUCAUAACCCGAAGAUAGGUGGUUCGACUCCAUCCCCCGCAA